RNAcentral lists this long non-coding RNA (246 nucleotides) under Lathyrus oleraceus (garden pea). RNAcentral's name for it is "Pisum sativum (pea) long non-coding RNA (PSAT_LNC036880)". The record is from RNAcentral. Lineage: Eukaryota; Viridiplantae; Streptophyta; Magnoliopsida; Fabales; Fabaceae.
AUGAGACCUUCAUACCCUUCUUCUUCAAGCUCUGCUAAAAAAGGGUUAUACUCUCAUUUUGUGUUAACUAGUAAAGAAAAGGGUUCAAACCAAUCAAAACCUAUAACUUCAUAAUCAAAGGUUCUGAAGAAAUCAAAACCUGGGAUCCCAAGAUCAAAGGUCCUGAAUAAAUCAGAACCAAUGAUUCCUAAGUCAAAGAUUUUAAAAGAAUCAGAACCUAAAACCUCCAAGCCAAAGGUCCUGAAG